Non-coding RNA from Schistosoma margrebowiei, 45 nucleotides. The record is from Rfam. NCBI's taxonomy places the organism in Eukaryota, Metazoa, Platyhelminthes, Trematoda, Strigeidida, Schistosomatidae.
AUCCAGCUGACGAGUUCAAAAUAAGACGAAAUUCAUGUCUUGAAU